GACCCUGACAAAUAUUUACCAGUGUCUCUGGGUUUACAGAAACCUUGCUCCAGCUUCAGCUUUGAAGUGGAGUUCAAAGCACCAGCAACUCCCACAUCUUGGGGGGACUGAGCUCACGCCAGCGUGCAAAAAUGCUGCUCUGCCAGGAGGGGAACUGUGUCCCACCUCUUCCUUAGAGGACACCCAGCACAGCUCUGACAUCUUCCAUCAUCUCACAGGGUCCUGCUUGUCUCCCCACACCAAGGUAGAGUCUUAGCAGCAGGAUCACAACCUUCAUCAUCCCCCUCCUCCUUGGACUGUUGGUGAACCCUCUUCUCUGUGCACUGUUGACCACCCUCCACAUUUCCCUCCCACCAUGGGGAAUGGUGGCCAGCUCCUCAGAAGAACAUUGGCCUUGGCUGGUGCAGAUGGCAGCAAAUACAUGCCCAGAAGUAGAGAUUUACUCUAACCCUGCAGGACACCUGGGCCCAGCUGCGCUUUGCUCACUGCACUUGCAAGAAUCUGUGAUUUACAGAGAUAAUCCUCAGACAUUUCAAGCUGGGCUGAAGAGAGACACAUUUCCAGCCCAUGCCAUCAAUUCUAUUCAUCUGGAACAGGUGCCAGGCUUAUGAAAUCCUCCUGCCUGGUGGUAGACUCCACAUGCUUCAUUAGCAGCCAGCCGAGCAGCCACCUCCAGCUCGUCGGCAUUGCAAACAGCCUGGGGAUCAGAGCCCCAAACCUGGGAAGCAAAGGAGGCAAGGAUUCAAAGGGAAAGGGGGAUUUAGGCAGACAAUGCCAGGCUCUGUGAAACCUGCUCCCAGCCCCUCUUGUCCUCCCUCGUUCCAGUGAACGCAGCUGCCUGUCCUUGCUAAUUCAGGGGUACAAUGCUGUGCUGGAAGUGCUAGACGUGGCCCUGGCAGUCUCAUUAAAAACAACAUCUAAUAAAUUGCCAAAUGCCAUUUACCCUGGAUAACCUCCUUAGCUGAGACUCUCUGUAUCUCCUGGAGCUGCUUUGAUGUCUCCUCCUGCUCUUUCAGCCCAGAUGUUGUCACAGAUUUGCUGACAAUGGCUGCAAACUGGCUUUGAAACCUGCUCUGGCAAGAAAUACUUUCCCAUCCUGUCUCAGAUGGGGUCUGCUAUUUUUCUUCCCCCCCCUCCCUCCCCACCACAUUUUUCUUACU
Molecule: long non-coding RNA, 1160 nt
Organism: Apus apus (common swift)
Lineage: Eukaryota; Metazoa; Chordata; Aves; Apodiformes; Apodidae
Exons: 3
Source: RefSeq, a predicted model, not a curated record